RNAcentral lists this ribosomal RNA (301 nucleotides) under uncultured bacterium. Its description in RNAcentral is "partial 16S ribosomal RNA". It matches the Rfam family "Bacterial small subunit ribosomal RNA", at positions 509 to 807 of the family's 1533-position model. The record is from RNAcentral.
CAGUCGCCGCGGUAAUACGUAGGGUGCGAGCGUUAAUCGGAUUGAUUGGGUGUAAAGGGUGUGCAGACGGCUUAUUAAGUCACUUGUUAAAUUCUUCGGCCUAACUGAAGGUCUGCAAGUGAUACUGAUGAGCUAGAGGGUGGGAGAGGGUGGUGGAAUUCCCGGAGUAGCAGUGAAAUGCGCAGAUACCGGGAGGAACGCCGAUGGCGAAGGCAGCCACCUGGUCCACUUCUGACGCUGAGGCGCGAAAGCGUGGGGAGCAAACCGGAUUAGAUACCCCAGUAGUCCCUGUCUCUUAUAC